AGUGAACGCUGGCGGCGUGCUUAACACAUGCAAGUCGAACGAGAACGGAAUAUAGCUUGCUAUAUUUGUCAGCUAAGUGGCGCACGGGUGAGUAAUGUAUAGAUAACCUGCCCUUAAGAAAGGAAUAACAGCUGGAAACGACUGCUAAUGCCCUAUAUGCCUUUAAUACAUAAGUAUGCAAGGGAAACGCUUUAGUGCUUAAGGAUGGGUCUGUAUGGUAUCAGCUUGUUGGUGAGGUAAUGGCUCACCAAGACUAUGACGCCUAACUGGUUUGAGAGGAUGAUCAGUCACACUGGAACUGAGACACGGUCCAGACUCCUACGGGAGGCAGCAGUGGGGAAUAUUGCACAAUGGACGAAAGUCUGAUGCAGCAACGCCGCGUGGAGGAUGACACAUUUCGGUGCGUAAACUCCUUUUAUAUGGGAAGAUAAUGACGGUACUAUAUGAAUAAGCACCGGCUAACUCCGUGCCAGCAGCCGCCGUAA
RNAcentral lists this ribosomal RNA (485 nucleotides) under uncultured bacterium. RNAcentral describes it as "partial 16S ribosomal RNA". It matches the Rfam family "Bacterial small subunit ribosomal RNA", at positions 29 to 523 of the family's 1533-position model. The record is from RNAcentral.